This 433-nucleotide ribosomal RNA is filed under the name uncultured bacterium. RNAcentral's name for it is "partial 16S ribosomal RNA". It matches the Rfam family "Bacterial small subunit ribosomal RNA", at positions 29 to 507 of the family's 1533-position model. The record is from RNAcentral.
AACGAACGCUGGCGGCAUGCCUAACACAUGCAAGUCGAACGAGACCUUCGGGUCUAGUGGCGCACGGGUGCGUAACGCGUGGGAACCUGCCCUUAGGUUCGGAAUAACUCCCCGAAAGGGGUGCUAAUACCGGAUAAUGUCUUCGGACCAAAGAGUUAUCGCCUUUGGAUGGGCCCGCGUUGGAUUAGCUAGUUGGUAGGGUAAAAGCCUACCAAGGCGACGAUCCAUAGCUGGUAUGAGAGGAUGAUCAGCCAGACUGGGACUGAGACACGGCCUAGACUCGUACGGGAGGCAGCAGUGGGGAAUACUGUACAAUGAGCGAAAGUCUGAUCCAGCAAUGCCGCGUGAGUGAUGAAGGCCUUAGUGUUGUAAAGCUCUUUUACACGGGAUGAUAAUGACAGUACCGGGAGAAUAAGCUCCGGCUAACUACGUG